UAAAGCUCUGACCUUACGGAACGAGCGCAUUUAUUAGAACAAAACCAAUCGGGUUUCGGCCCGUUCGUUGGUGACUCUGAAUAACUCUGCCGAUCGCACGGUCUCGCACCGGCGACAUAUCUUUCAAGUGUCUGCCUUAUCAACUUUCGAUGGUAGUUUAUGUGCCUACCAUGGUUGUAACGGGUAACGGAGAAUAAGGGUUCGACUCCGGAGAGGGAGCCUGAGAAACGGCUACCACAUCCAAGGAAGGCAGCAGGCGCGCAAAUUACCCACUCUCGGCACGAGGAGGUAGUGACGAAAAAUAACGAGACGGAUCUCUUUGAGGCCCGUUAUCGGAAUGAGAACAAUUCAAAUCCUUUAACGAGGAUCUAGCGGAGGGCAAGUCUGGUGCCAGCAGCCGCGGUAAUUCCAGCUCCGCAGGUGUAUAUCUAUGCUGCUGCGGUUAAAAAGCUCGUAGUUGGAUCUGCGUGCUCGGAACUGGUUGGCUCACUGAGUUCAAACCGGUCUCCGGCGCUUUAUUGGCUGGUUUUCCCUUGGUGCUCUUAACCGGGUGUCUUGGGUGGCUAGCACGUUUACUUUGAAAAAAUUAGAGUGCUCAAUACAGGCGUAAAGCCUUGAAUAGUGGUGCAUGGAAUAAUAGAAUAGGACCUCGGCUCUAUUUUGUUGGUUUUCGGAACGCGAGGUAAUGAUUAAGAGGGACAGACGGGGGCAUUCGUAUUGCGACGUUAGAGGUGAAAUUUUUGGAUCGUCGCAAGACGGACGACUGCGAAAGCAUUUGCCAAGAAUGUUUUCAUUAAUCAAGAACGAAAGUUAGAGGUUCGAAGGCGAUCAGAUACCGCCCUAGUUCUAACCGUAAACGAUGCCAACUAGCGAUUCGCAGGCGUUAAACAACGACCUUGCGGGCAGCUUCCCGGAAACGAAAGUGUUCGGGUUCCGGGGGAAGUAUGGUUGCAAAGCUGAAACUUAAAGGAAUUGACGGAAGGGCACCACCAGGAGUGGAGCCUGCGGCUUAAUUUGACCCAACACGGGAAAACUCACCCGGCCCGGACACCGUAAGGAUUGACAGAUUGAGAGCUCUUUCUUGAUUCGGUGGGGGGUGGUGCAUGGCCGUUCUUAGUUGGUGGAGCGAUUUGUCUGGUUUAUUCCGAUAACGAACGAGACUCUGGCCUACUAAAUAGUGGGCGGAUUCUUUCUGUCCGCAACACUUCUUAGAGGGACAAGCGGUGUUCAGCCGCACGAGAUUGAGCAAUAACAGGUCUGUGAUGCCCUUAGAUGUCCGGGGCUGCACGCGCGCUACACUGAAGGAAUCAGCGUGCUUUCUGACCUUGCCCGAAAGGGCUGGGUAACCCGAUGAAAAUCCUUCGUGAUUGGGAUAGGGACUUGCAAUUAUUUCCCUU
RNAcentral lists this ribosomal RNA (1397 nucleotides) under metagenome. RNAcentral describes it as "SSU rRNA". It matches the Rfam family "Eukaryotic small subunit ribosomal RNA", at positions 174 to 1600 of the family's 1831-position model. The record is from RNAcentral.